ACCCAGCUAGCUCAGUUGGUAGAGAAUGAGACUCUCAAUCUCAGGGUUGUGGGUUUGAGCCCCAUGUUGGGCA
This is a non-coding RNA of Peromyscus leucopus (white-footed mouse), 73 nucleotides long. The record is from the annotation of a RefSeq genome assembly. NCBI's taxonomy places the organism in Eukaryota, Metazoa, Chordata, Mammalia, Rodentia, Cricetidae.